GGUUAAGCGACUAAGCGUACACGGUGGAUGCCCUGGCAGUCAGAGGCGAUGAAGGACGUGCUAAUCUGCGAUAAGCGUCGGUAAGGUGAUAUGAACCGUUAUAACCGGCGAUUUCCGAAUGGGGAAACCCAGUGUGACUCGUCACACUAUCAUUAACUGAAUCCAUAGGUUAAUGAGGCGAACCGGGGGAACUGAAACAUCUAAGUACCCCGAGGAAAAGAAAUCAACCGAGAUUCCCCCAGUAGCGGCGAGCGAACGGGGAGCAGCCCAGAGCCUGAAUCAGUGUGUGUGUUAGUGGAAGCGUCUGGAAAGGCGCGCGAUACAGGGUGACAGCCCCGUACACAAAAAUGCACAUGCUGUGAGCUCGAUGAGUAGGGCGGGACACGUGGUAUCCUGUCUGAAUAUGGGGGGACCAUCCUCCAAGGCUAAAUACUCCUGACUGACCGAUAGUGAACCAGUACCGUGAGGGAAAGGCGAAAAGAACCCCGGCGAGGGGAGUGAAAAAGAACCUGAAACCGUGUACGUACAAGCAGUGGGAGCCUCUUUAUGGGGUGACUGCGUACCUUUUGUAUAAUGGGUCAGCGACUUAUAUUCUGUAGCAAGGUUAACCGAAUAGGGGAGCCGAAGGGAAACCGAGUCUUAACUGGGCGUUAAGUUGCAGGGUAUAGACCCGAAACCCGGUGAUCUAGCCAUGGGCAGGUUGAAGGUUGGGUAACACUAACUGGAGGACCGAACCGACUAAUGUUGAAAAAUUAGCGGAUGACUUGUGGCUGGGGGUGAAAGGCCAAUCAAACCGGGAGAUAGCUGGUUCUCCCCGAAAGCUAUUUAGGUAGCGCCUCGUGAAUUCAUCUCCGGGGGUAGAGCACUGUUUCGGCAAGGGGGUCAUCCCGACUUACCAACCCGAUGCAAACUGCGAAUACCGGAGAAUGUUAUCACGGGAGACACACGGCGGGUGCUAACGUCCGUCGUGAAGAGGGAAACAACCCAGACCGCCAGCUAAGGUCCCAAAGUCAUGGUUAAGUGGGAAACGAUGUGGGAAGGCCCAGACAGCCAGGAUGUUGGCUUAGAAGCAGCCAUCAUUUAAAGAAAGCGUAAUAGCUCACUGGUCGAGUCGGCCUGCGCGGAAGAUGUAACGGGGCUAAACCAUGCACCGAAGCUGCGGCAGCGACACUAUGUGUUGUUGGGUAGGGGAGCGUUCUGUAAGCCUGCGAAGGUGUACUGUGAGGUAUGCUGGAGGUAUCAGAAGUGCGAAUGCUGACAUAAGUAACGAUAAAGCGGGUGAAAAGCCCGCUCGCCGGAAGACCAAGGGUUCCUGUCCAACGUUAAUCGGGGCAGGGUGAGUCGACCCCUAAGGCGAGGCCGAAAGGCGUAGUCGAUGGGAAACAGGUUAAUAUUCCUGUACUUGGUGUUACUGCGAAGGGGGGACGGAGAAGGCUAUGUUGGCCGGGCGACGGUUGUCCCGGUUUAAGCGUGUAGGCUGGUUUUCCAGGCAAAUCCGGAAAAUCAAGGCUGAGGCGUGAUGACGAGGCACUACGGUGCUGAAGCAACAAAUGCCCUGCUUCCAGGAAAAGCCUCUAAGCAUCAGGUAACAUCAAAUCGUACCCCAAACCGACACAGGUGGUCAGGUAGAGAAUACCAAGGCGCUUGAGAGAACUCGGGUGAAGGAACUAGGCAAAAUGGUGCCGUAACUUCGGGAGAAGGCACGCUGAUAUGUAGGUGAAGUCCCUCGCGGAUGGAGCUGAAAUCAGUCGAAGAUACCAGCUGGCUGCAACUGUUUAUUAAAAACACAGCACUGUGCAAACACGAAAGUGGACGUAUACGGUGUGACGCCUGCCCGGUGCCGGAAGGUUAAUUGAUGGGGUUAGCGGUAACGCGAAGCUCUUGAUCGAAGCCCCGGUAAACGGCGGCCGUAACUAUAACGGUCCUAAGGUAGCGAAAUUCCUUGUCGGGUAAGUUCCGACCUGCACGAAUGGCGUAAUGAUGGCCAGGCUGUCUCCACCCGAGACUCAGUGAAAUUGAACUCGCUGUGAAGAUGCAGUGUACCCGCGGCAAGACGGAAAGACCCCGUGAACCUUUACUAUAGCUUGACACUGAACAUUGAGCCUUGAUGUGUAGGAUAGGUGGGAGGCUUUGAAGUGUGGACGCCAGUCUGCAUGGAGCCGACCUUGAAAUACCACCCUUUAAUGUUUGAUGUUCUAACGUUGGCCCCUGAUCGGGGUUGCGGACAGUGUCUGGUGGGUAGUUUGACUGGGGCGGUCUCCUCCUAAAGAGUAACGGAGGAGCACGAAGGUUGGCUAAUCCUGGUCGGACAUCAGGAGGUUAGUGCAAUGGCAUAAGCCAGCUUGACUGCGAGCGUGACGGCGCGAGCAGGUGCGAAAGCAGGUCAUAGUGAUCCGGUGGUUCUGAAUGGAAGGGCCAUCGCUCAACGGAUAAAAGGUACUCCGGGGAUAACAGGCUGAUACCGCCCAAGAGUUCAUAUCGACGGCGGUGUUUGGCACCUCGAUGUCGGCUCAUCACAUCCUGGGGCUGAAGUAGGUCCCAAGGGUAUGGCUGUUCGCCAUUUAAAGUGGUACGCGAGCUGGGUUUAGAACGUCGUGAGACAGUUCGGUCCCUAUCUGCCGUGGGCGCUGGAGAACUGAGGGGGGCUGCUCCUAGUACGAGAGGACCGGAGUGGACGCAUCACUGGUGUUCGGGUUGUCAUGCCAAUGGCACUGCCCGGUAGCUAAAUGCGGAAGAGAUAAGUGCUGAAAGCAUCUAAGCACGAAACUUGCCCCGAGAUGAGUUCUCCCUGACUCCUUGAGAGUCCUGAAGGAACGUUGAAGACGACGACGUUGAUAGGCCGGGUGUGUAAGCGCAGCGAUGCGUUGAGCUAACCGGUACUAAUGAACCGUGAGGCUUAACCUU
This 2904-nucleotide ribosomal RNA is filed under the name Escherichia coli. RNAcentral describes it as "23S ribosomal RNA". It matches the Rfam family "Bacterial large subunit ribosomal RNA". The record is from RNAcentral. Lineage: Bacteria; Pseudomonadati; Pseudomonadota; Gammaproteobacteria; Enterobacterales; Enterobacteriaceae.